AGGACGAACGCUGGCGGCGUGCUUAACACAUGCAAGUCGAGCGGAAAGGCCCUUCGGGGUACUCGAGCGGCGAACGGGUGAGUAACACGUGAGCAACCUGCCCCUGGCUCUGGGAUAGCCUCCGGAAACGGGGAUUAAUACCGGACAUUCACUUCCUUCCGCAUGGUGGGUGGUGGAAAGUUUUUCGGCCGGGGAGGGGCUCGCGGUCUAUCAGCUUGUUGGCGGGGUAACGGCCCACCAAGGCGACGACGGAUAG
RNAcentral lists this ribosomal RNA (256 nucleotides) under uncultured bacterium. Its description in RNAcentral is "partial small subunit ribosomal RNA". It matches the Rfam family "Bacterial small subunit ribosomal RNA", at positions 26 to 286 of the family's 1533-position model. The record is from RNAcentral.